Gracilinanus agilis (Agile Gracile Mouse Opossum) is the source of this 107-nucleotide small nuclear RNA. The record is from RefSeq and is a predicted model, not a curated record. Lineage: Eukaryota; Metazoa; Chordata; Mammalia; Didelphimorphia; Didelphidae.
GUGCUCCCUUUGGCAGUACAUAUACUAAAACUGGAAUACAGAGAAGAUUAACAUAGCCUUUGUGCAAGGAUGAUACAGGACAUGAUCUCUAGGCCCUCCACCAUCCU